ACGAACGCUGGCGGCGUGCUUAACACCUGCAAGUCGAACGGAAAGGCCCUGCUUUUGUGGGGUGCUCGAGUGGCGAACGGGUGAGUAACACGUGAGUAACCUGCCCUUGACUUUGGGAUAACUUCAGGAAACUGGGGCUAAUACCGGAUAGGAGCUCCCGCUGCAUGGUGGGGGUUGGAAAGUUUCGGCGGUUGGGGAUGGACUCGCGGCUUAUCAGCUUGUUGGUGGGGUAGUGGCUUACCAAGGCUUUGACGGGUAGCCGGCCUGAGAGGGUGACCGGCCACAUUGGGACUAAGAUACGGCCCAGACUCCUACGGGAGGCAGCAGUGGGGAAUAUUGCACAAUGGGCGGAAGCCUGAUGCAGCAACGCCGCGUGCGGGAUGACGGCCUUCGGGUUGUAAACCGCUUUCGCCUGUGACGAAGCGUGAGUGACGGUAAUGGGUAAAGAAGCACCGGCUAACUACGUG
RNAcentral lists this ribosomal RNA (467 nucleotides) under uncultured bacterium. RNAcentral describes it as "partial 16S ribosomal RNA". It matches the Rfam family "Bacterial small subunit ribosomal RNA", at positions 29 to 507 of the family's 1533-position model. The record is from RNAcentral.